GAUGAAGAACGUAGUGAAAUGCGAUAAGUAAUGUGAAUUGCAGAAUUCAGUGAAUCAUCGAAUCUUUGAACGCACAUUGCGCCCGCCAGUAGUCUGGCGGGCAUGCCUGUUCGAGCGUCAUUUCAACCAUCAAGCCCCCGGCUUGUGUUGGGGACCUGCGGCUGCCGCAGGCCCUGAAAACCAGUGGCGGGCUCGCUAGUCACUCCGAGCGUAGUAAUACAUCUCGCUCAGGGCGUGCUGCGGGUUCCGGCCGUUAAAAAGCCUUAUUUACCCAAGGUUGACCUCGGAUCAGGUAGGAAGACCCGCUGAACUUAAGCAUAUCAAUAAGCGGAGGA
RNAcentral lists this unclassified non-coding RNA (335 nucleotides) under soil metagenome. RNAcentral describes it as "partial contains 5.8S ribosomal RNA, internal transcribed spacer 2, and large subunit ribosomal RNA". The stretch from base 1 to 120 matches the Rfam family "5.8S ribosomal RNA", at positions 35 to 154 of the family's 154-position model. The record is from RNAcentral.